Long non-coding RNA from Dreissena polymorpha, 1210 nucleotides. RefSeq lists it as uncharacterized. NCBI's taxonomy places the organism in Eukaryota, Metazoa, Mollusca, Bivalvia, Myida, Dreissenidae. The transcript is spliced from 2 exons. The record is from RefSeq and is a predicted model, not a curated record.
CAACGUCAAAGUAGCAACUGAACUUAAUCAGAAUACAUCAGAAUAUUGUCUAUUGGUACACAAUGGACGCAAACACAUUACAGUGUAUACUUCGCAGCAAGUAUAACAAUCGAUGAAAAGCUUCAGGCCGAUGGCAUAUUCGUGGCACUCCUCGGUGGCACCGUUGAAGCCAUUGGUCUGUACGGAAUCGGGAUUAGUGAGAGGUGCGUCGGCGUCGCCAUCAAUCUCCGCGGACCGCAUAUCGACUACGACCUGAUGUCUCUCACACCGAUAGGUUUGCUCGAUGUCAAGUACAAAAACGCCAGCAGGAUAAUAACCAUCUCCAGUCAGUUCAAAGCCAAACAGGCCUUUCAGCAAUGCAGCAGUACCAAGGCUGCCGCAAUAAGGGAUGAUUUCACCAACGCCAUUGAUUGCCUCAUCUAAAUCCGGCGGAGACAUUUGGUGCAGCGCGUCACUUACCACUUCACCAUCAUCAGGCGCCUUAGUGGAUAAAGAAUAUGAGAGGAACUCUCAGCGGGGCUUCCCAGGCGGGACCCUUAUCAUUUACAGGUGUCUGUCUCCGCAAAGGUCUCCCACAGCGGAUGGAAGUUUCAGCUACAUCUCUUUGCCCGAUAUUGUAUGUGGACCAACCGAUGCCAAGCACGCGGCGUGCCGUCAGCAUGUUAAGAAGGGAGGCGGAAAACUACAACGGGCGAGGCAUGGUCAGGGGUGAUAACCCCAAAAAAGGUUAGGGUAAGGGUUAGGGUUAGGGGUCGGGUUAGGUUUAGGGUUGGGUUUAGGCUAACCCAAACCCUAACCCGACACCUAACACAAGUCCUAACCCUAACCCUAACCCUCUAACCCCCCUUGCGCAAUACCAUACCAUGCCUCGCCUGUUGUCGUUUCCCGCCUCCCUGUUAAGAAAGGUCACAGUUUGGACUGUGUCGACGUGUCAUUUGACAGCUUCAUCAACUAUAAUGAUACCAACCGAAAUGCAAUAACAGGUAGACCAUACUGCUCACGCUACUGUUAUUGGGGAAAUUGGUGGUAAACUAACCAACGAGCUACGGACUGAUGUGUCAAGCAAACCUUCUAGUCUAGCCGAGAGGUUCCUGCGCUUUUCUACUUGCUGCAGAAGCAAGCGUUGAACGUUUUUUAAAUUGAUGUUUUUUACUUGAGAAAUUUCACAUAAUUGUUUGGUGCAAUAAAUUUUUUGCAUAAACAAAGUCAA